AUGCCUCUAUUUGACAGGCCUGGAGUAUUUACUCUCUGCUGAGGUUUCCACUAAAUACAGAUGCGAGAAAAAUAUGUCCUCGAGCUUUCUGUCCGUCUUGCUGUGGCAGCCCAGAUUGAAUGUGAGAAUGCUUGG
Small nucleolar RNA from Capra hircus (goat), 135 nucleotides. The record is from Ensembl. NCBI's taxonomy places the organism in Eukaryota, Metazoa, Chordata, Mammalia, Artiodactyla, Bovidae.